GUGCCAGCAGCCGCGGUAAUACAGAGGUCCCAAGCGUUGUUCGGAUUUACUGGGCGUAAAGGGUGCGUAGGCGGUCGGGUCAGUCUGAUGUGAAAUCUCCGAGCUCAACUCGGAAAGCGCAUCGGAUACUGCUCGGCUAGAGGAUUGGAGGGGGGACUGGAAUUCUCGGUGUAGCAGUGAAAUGCGUAGAUAUCGAGAGGAACACCAGUGGCGAAGGCGAGUCCCUGGACAAUUCCUGACGCUGAGGCACGAAAGCUAGGGGAGCAAACAGGAUUAGAAACCCUCGUAGUCC
RNAcentral lists this ribosomal RNA (292 nucleotides) under uncultured bacterium. RNAcentral describes it as "partial 16S ribosomal RNA". It matches the Rfam family "Bacterial small subunit ribosomal RNA", at positions 505 to 796 of the family's 1533-position model. The record is from RNAcentral.